RNAcentral lists this ribosomal RNA (466 nucleotides) under uncultured bacterium. RNAcentral's name for it is "partial 16S ribosomal RNA". It matches the Rfam family "Bacterial small subunit ribosomal RNA", at positions 28 to 507 of the family's 1533-position model. The record is from RNAcentral.
GAUGAACGCUGGCGGCGUGCUUAACACAUGCAAGUCGAACGGAAAGGCUCCUGCUUGCAGGGGUACUCGAGUGGCGAACGGGUGAGUAACACGUGGGUGAUCUGCCCUGCACUUCGGGAUAAGCCUGGGAAACUGGGUCUAAUACCGGAUAGGACGAUGGUUUGGAUGCCAUUGUGGAAAGUUUUUUCGGUGUGGGAUGAGCUCGCGGCCUAUCAGCUUGUUGGUGGGGUAAUGGCCUACCAAGGCGUCGACGGGUAGCCGGCCUGAGAGGGUGUACGGCCACAUUGGGAGUGAGAUACGGCCCAGACUCCUACGGGAGGCAGCAGUGGGGAAUAUUGCACAAUGGGCGCAAGCCUGAUGCAGCGACGCCGCGUGGGGGAUGACGGCCUUCGGGUUGUAAACUCCUUUCGCUAGGGACGAAGCGCAAGUGACGGUACCUGGAGAAGAAGCACCGGCUAACUACGUG